UACGUAGGGUGCGAGCGUUAAUCGGAAUUACUGGGCGUAAAGCGUGCGCAGGCGGUUACAUAAGACAGAUGUGAAAUCCCCGGGCUUAACCUGGGAACUGCGUUUGAAACUGGGGAGCUAGAGUGUAGAAGAGGGGGGUGGAAUUCCAGGUGUAGCAGUGAAAUGCGUAGAGAUCUGGAGGAACACCGAUGGCGAAGGCAGCCCCCUGGGCUAACACUGACGCUCAUGCACGAAAGCGUGGGGAGCGAACAGG
RNAcentral lists this ribosomal RNA (253 nucleotides) under uncultured bacterium. Its description in RNAcentral is "partial 16S ribosomal RNA". It matches the Rfam family "Bacterial small subunit ribosomal RNA", at positions 524 to 776 of the family's 1533-position model. The record is from RNAcentral.